Molecule: long non-coding RNA, 300 nt
Filed under: Homo sapiens (human)
Lineage: Eukaryota; Metazoa; Chordata; Mammalia; Primates; Hominidae
Description: PREDICTED lncRNA (TCONS_00180557)
Source: RNAcentral
CCAGAAGCUUCCUAACAGGGUUCCCUGCUUGCAACAUUGCCACAUUCCCACCUCAGUCUGUUCACAACCGAGGACCCUCAGGAAUCCUUUCAAAGCAUUCAUCAAAAUCUGCAACGCCUUUGCUCAUGACUGUUUCCCACUCACUAGCAGUGAGAUCCAAUCCCGAUCCAAGACCCGGAGGCUUCUUCAGUGAGCGAUAUUGUCCAAGAAACAACUUCCCACUAAAAUGAUCAAGAGAAUGAGAAGUCAAGACAAAGAGUGGGAGAACAUGUUUGCAAAAGACAUAACUUUCGGAUAAAG